Molecule: long non-coding RNA, 3142 nt
Filed under: Nicotiana benthamiana
Lineage: Eukaryota; Viridiplantae; Streptophyta; Magnoliopsida; Solanales; Solanaceae
Description: long non-coding RNA (NBEN_LNC036701)
Source: RNAcentral
AGCAGACGAACAAGAUCUGAGCCAAAAUCUAACGAAGGCCAGGAGUCACGAUAGGCACUGCCGGUGCCUUAACUGGUGCUGAUGGAGCAUCUACAGCUGGAGGCUGGUCGUGGAGCUGGGAAGCUGGUGGGUCUGCAGGUGAUGCCCUUGCUGGUCCGCCUCGUCCAGAGCCAUGACCGCAUCCACGGCCUCAAGCAGAUGGUAUCGGUGGUCGUCUUCCACGUCCGUUAGCAUGGGUUUCGCCAUCUACGAGAGAAUAGAAUAUGAAACCUUUUAGUUUUUCGCAUUAACAAGCCGCACGAUAUGAAUUUCACGAAAGUGGGGUGUUUCCUAAAACUUCUGCAGUCUCAAGGAUAGAUACGGAUGUCUACGUACCGAUCCGCGAGACUCUACUAAAUCGGCUCAUGACUCGCGAGGCCUAGUAACCUAGUCUCUGAUACCAUCUUGUCACGACCCAGCCCCGGUCGUGAUGGCGCCCAACACCUUGUUAGGCAAGCUUAACCAUUUAGACAAUUCCCAGCCAAAUCAUUAACUUAAAUUACCAAGUUUAACCUGACAUUCUCAGUUAAUAUUAACAAAACACUGCGAAAUGAUGCCAAGUUGUGACGACCCAAACCCAGUCGUGAUGGCACCCAACCAUAACGCUAGGCAAGCCUAACCAACAAUCGCUCUCAUUUCGAUAAUAAAUCGCAAACUGAAAAUUUAAGGAGAAUAUAGUAAUUUUAGAAUAUCAACUUCUUUGCCAAUUGAAAGCUCUAGCAAUAUUCAGCAGUUUCUUAUUUUCUACAGGGCCCUUCUCUGAAGAGGCCAUUGGAAAUUGGUAAAGCUGCUCAUGAGCUCUAUUUUCUGCUACCUGACAUGGUUACCCCUUCCCUUACUUCUAAUGUUUCUUAUUCUACUGUUUGUAAUUUUCCUACAGUAAAUGUUAUUCCUAAUUUUCACAGUUCUACUUUUAACCCAUCUAGUACUAUCAAUAAAAUGGAUCUAUUUUGGCAUCAAAGACUAGGCCAUAUACCAUUUCAUAAAGUGGAAUCUAUUCAAUGUUUGUCUACUCAAGUAUCUUCUAAACAAUCAUUUAUAUGUUCUAUUUGUCCUAUGGCUAGACAACAAAGACUACGUUAUCAUAAUAGCCACAUUCUUUCAACUUUACCCUUCCAGUUAGUCCAUAUAGACAUAUGGGGACCUUACCACACUACAAUAUACCAUUGUUUCAGAUAUUUCAUCACUUUGGUAGAUGAUUUUACUAAGGUCGCCUGGACACAUUUAUUAUCCUCCAAAGGUAAUGCCUUGUCUGUUAUCAAAGCUUUCACUAUGAUGGUCAAAGUUCAUUUACAGUCUUCCGUUCAAUCUUUUAGAUUAGACACUGCUUUUUAAUUAGGUAGUAGUUCAGAGGAUAUAUCCUUCUUUGCUGAUAAUGGAAUCUUACACCAAACCACUAUUCCCCGCACACCACAACAAAAUGGGGUGGUCGAAAGAAAACACAAACAUCAUUUAGAAACUUCCAGAGCCCUUUUGUUUCAAUCUAGACUCCCUACCAAGUAUUGGGGUAAAUGUGUAUUAACUGUCGACAUUGUGAACAGACUACCUUCAUCAGUCUUGAAAAACUACAUAGAACUCCUCCAACAUAUGACCACCUGAAAUCAUUUGGUAGCCUUUGUUUUGGAACUACCCCCAAACCUGGGAGAGACAAAUUCCAACCUAGAGAUGUUGCUUGUUCUUUCAUUGGUUACCCUAUUGGGAAAAAGGGAUAUAAGUUGCUCAAUCUCUCUACUCAUUAUGUCUUUUUUUCAGAGAUGUAGUUUUCCAUGAGCAUAUAUUUCCAUAUUCCUCUUCUUCACCUUCUUCUAUUUUCCUCCUCCUUCUACUUCUUUUGAAGAUUCUCCUCUCUUUCUCUCUUCCACUACUCCCUUAUCACCUUCUCCUGAUUCUAGUUUUGUCUCUCCUGAUUCUACUUCUGUGCUACCUACUACACCUCCUUCUGAUCUUUCUCCUUCUUCCUUAAACCAUCAGGAACCACCUCUUAUGCAUGUUUCUUCCUCUACUUCUCCUUCCGUCACUACUUCUGUACCUUCCUCUUCCACCUUACCUACUGUUAGCCAUUCCACUAGGGUCUCUAAUCCUCCCUCCUACUUAUCAGAUUAUAUAUGUUCUUCCUGUCUGCCCUGUUUCUACAAAUUCAAAGAUUUCUACUACUAAGCUACAGAUGCAGGAACCCUAAUAUUAUCAGUAGGCUGCCUCACAUCCUACUUGGAAAGAAGCCAUGCUAAAAGAGUUCCAAGCUCAUAAAUUUAACCAUACUUGGGAUAUUGUUCCUCUCUCUUCUCAGAAGAAACCCAUUCCUUGUAAAUAGGUGUACAAAAUUAAACAGAAGUCUGAUGGCAUUGUAGAAAGAUACAAAGCCAGAUUAGUCAUUAGGGGUGACACACAAAAGGAAGGGAUAGACUACAAUGAGACUUUUUCCCUAGUUGUUAAAUUCACUACUAUUAAGUUCCUACUCUCUCUUGCUGCUAAAAAGGGUGGGCUGUUUAUCAAGUAGAUGUCAACAAUGCUUUUCUUCAUGGUGAUCUCCAUGAAGAAGUUUAUAUGAGGCUACCUCUUGGUCUUGUGAUUUCUGGUCAUCCUUCCUCCUCUUCUCCACUGGUUUGCAAGCUCAAAAAAUCUCGUUAUGGCCUCAAACAAGCCUGAAGACAAUGGUUAUCUAACUUGUAUGAAGCCUUGGUUUCCAGAGGUUAUAUGUCUAGCAAAAAUGAUUAUUCAUUGUUCACUAAGACUUCUGGUAACUCCCUGACUGUCUUGGCAGCAUAUGUCGAUGACAUUCUAUUGGCAGGAGAUGAAACUUCUGAAUUGGAUGCUCUUAAGGCUUUUCUGGAUGCUACUUUCAAAAUAAAAGACUUAGGUUCUGUUCACUACUUCUUGAGUUUGGAAAUUAUACAACAACCCCAAGGUUUCUUGAUGUGCCAGCACAAAUUUACAUCUGAUCUCUUGGAAGAGUUUCACUGUGAUCAUUUCACCCCUGUCAAUACUCCACUUGAUUAUUCCCUCAAACUCUCUUCUUAUAUGGGAGAGCCCCUUUCUGAUCUAAGCAUCUACAGCAGGAUUAUGGGCAAGCUUAAUUUCUUGUGCCAUACAAGGCUAGAUAUUG